GAAGGGGCUAGCGUUGCUCGGAAUCACUGGGCGUAAAGGGUGCGUAGGCGGGUCUUUAAGUUCAGGGGUGAAAUCCUGGAGCUCAACUCCAGAACUGCCUUUGAUACUGAGGAUCUUGAGUCCGGAAGAGGUGAGUGGAACUGCGAGUGUAGAGGUGAAAUUCGUAGAUAUUCGCAAGAACACCAGUGGCGAAGGCGGCUCACUGGUCCGGUACUGACGCUGAGGCACGAAAGCGUGGGAGCAAACAGGAUUAGAUACCCUGGUAGUCCACGCUGUAAACGAUGAAUGCCAGCCGUUGGGAGUUUACUCUUCAGUGGCGCAGUUAACGCUUUAAGCAUUCCGCCUGGGGAGUACGGUCGCAAGAUUA
This 367-nucleotide ribosomal RNA is filed under the name uncultured bacterium. RNAcentral describes it as "bacterial SSU rRNA". It matches the Rfam family "Bacterial small subunit ribosomal RNA", at positions 528 to 896 of the family's 1533-position model. The record is from RNAcentral.